RNAcentral lists this ribosomal RNA (484 nucleotides) under uncultured bacterium. RNAcentral describes it as "partial 16S ribosomal RNA". It matches the Rfam family "Bacterial small subunit ribosomal RNA", at positions 28 to 507 of the family's 1533-position model. The record is from RNAcentral.
AUUGAACGCUGGCGGCAUGCUUUACACAUGCGAGUCGAACGGCAGCGCGGGCUUCGGCCUGGCGGCGAGUGGCGAACGGGUGAGUAAUGCAUCGGAACGUGCCCAGUAGUGGGGGAUAGCCCGGCGAAAGCCGGAUUAAUACCGCAUACGACCUGAGGGUGAAAGCGGGGGACCGAAAGGCCUCGCGCUAUUGGAGCGGCCGAUGUCGGAUUAGCUAGUUGGUGGGGUAAAGGCUUACCAAGGCGACGAUCCGUAGCUGGUCUGAGAGGACGACCAGCCACACUGGGACUGAGACACGGCACAGACUCCUACGGGAGGCAGCAGUGGGGAAUUUUGGACACUGGGGGCAACCCUGAUCCAGCCAUGCCGCGUGCGGGAAGAAGGCCUUCGGGUUGUAAACCGCUUUUGUUCGGGAAGAAAUCCUCUGGGCUAAUACCCCGGGGGGAUGACGGUACCGGAAGAAUAAGCACCGGCUAACUACGUG